GAUGAACGCUGGGGGCGUGCCUAACACAUGCAAGUCGAGCGGAGAAUUGUUGCUUGCCACAAUUCUUAGCGGCGGACGGGUGAGUAACACGUGGGUAACCUGCCCUAAACAAAGGGAUAACAAUGAGAAAUCAUUGCUAAUACCGUAUAAGCUUACACUAUCGCAUGAUAGAGUAAGAAAAGAUUUAUCGGUUUAGGAGGGGCCCGCGUCUGAUUAGCUAGUUGGAGAGGUAACGGCUCACUAAGGCGACGAUCAGUAGCCGACCUGAGAGGGUGAUCGGCCACAUUGGGACUGAGACACGGCCCAAACUCCUACGGGAGGCAGCAGUGGGGAAUAUUGCACAAUGGAGGAAACUCUGAUGCAGCAACGCCGCGUGAAGGAAGAAGGUUUUCGGAUCGUAAACUUCUAUCUACAGGGAAGAAAAAAAUGACGGUACCUGAGUAAGAAGCCCCGGCUAACUACGUG
RNAcentral lists this ribosomal RNA (465 nucleotides) under uncultured bacterium. RNAcentral's name for it is "partial 16S ribosomal RNA". It matches the Rfam family "Bacterial small subunit ribosomal RNA", at positions 28 to 507 of the family's 1533-position model. The record is from RNAcentral.